This 398-nucleotide ribosomal RNA is filed under the name Rhyncogonus lateralis. RNAcentral's name for it is "partial 16S ribosomal RNA". It matches the Rfam family "Archaeal large subunit ribosomal RNA", at positions 1948 to 2634 of the family's 2987-position model. Lineage: Eukaryota; Metazoa; Arthropoda; Insecta; Coleoptera; Curculionidae. The record is from RNAcentral.
GGCCUGCCCACUGAAGAUUUAAAUGGCCGCGGUAUUUUGACCGUGCAAAGGUAGCAUAAUAAUUAGUUUUUUAAUUGAAAGCUGGAAUGAAAGGUUGGAUGAGAAAAUAACUGUCUCUAUUUAGAUUAAUUAGAAUUUUAUUUUUAAGUAAAAAAGCUUAAAUAUUGAUAGAAGACGAGAAGACCCUAUAGAGUUUUAAUUUAGUUGGGGUGAUUGAAAAAUUGAAUAAACUUUUUUUGUAAUUAACCAUUGAUUUAUGAGUAAUUGAUCCUUUUUUAAAGAUUAAAAGAAAAAAUUACCUUAGGGAUAACAGCGUAAUUUUUUUAGAGAGUUCAAAUCGAAAAAAAAGAUUGCGACCUCGAUGUUGGAUUAAAAUUAAGUCUUGGUGUAGAAGCUAA